This is a long non-coding RNA of Ipomoea nil (Japanese morning glory), 316 nucleotides long. RefSeq lists it as uncharacterized. Lineage: Eukaryota; Viridiplantae; Streptophyta; Magnoliopsida; Solanales; Convolvulaceae. The transcript has 2 exons. The record is from RefSeq and is a predicted model, not a curated record.
AUUUUGGUACAAUGGUGGUGGAACUCAAUGUAAAUGAGGAGCACAUAGAAAGCAUAUGUCUACAAGGAUGAGAAUAACUAACAGGAUGGGGGGAAGAAUAUUAUAUGAAGUGCAUUAUUCAAGGAAGCACCUAUAAAGUAAAUUCAGAUGAUAACAAUAGGCGUUAGUAUUAUUUGGGUGUUCUGUGGAUGAGAGUGAAUCAGGUAACACAUAAACAGCUUGAAAACUUGAAAGCCAGUCAAUUAUCAGAGCAUAACAAGGAAUGGUGAACAUAUAUUACGAAAGGAAAAAGAAGUAAAAAAAAAAAAAAAAAAAA